This 449-nucleotide ribosomal RNA is filed under the name uncultured bacterium. RNAcentral's name for it is "bacterial SSU rRNA". It matches the Rfam family "Bacterial small subunit ribosomal RNA", at positions 29 to 524 of the family's 1533-position model. The record is from RNAcentral.
AACGAACGCUGGCGGCAGGCCUAACACAUGCAAGUCGAGCGCCCAGCAAUGGGAGCGGCAGACGGGUGAGUAACACGUGGGAACCUUCCCUAUAGUACGGAAUAGCCCAGGGAAACUUGGAGUAAUACCGCAUACGCCCGAGAGGGGAAAGAUUUAUCGCUAUAGGAUGGGCCCGCGUAGGAUUAGCUAGUUGGUGAGGUAAUGGCUCACCAAGGCGACGAUCCUUAGCUGGUCUGAGAGGACGACCAGCCACACUGGGACUGAGACACGGCCCAGACUCCUACGGGAGGCAGCAGUGGGGAAUAUUGGACAAUGGGCGCAAGCCUGAUCCAGCCAUGCCGCGUGAGUGAUGAAGGCCUUAGGGUUGUAAAGCUCUUUUGCCGGGGACGAUAAUGACGGUACCCGGAGAAUAAGUUCCCGGCUAACUUCGUGCCAGCAGCCGCGGUAAU